UGGGGGAUAUUGCACAAUGGGCGAAAGCCUGAUGCAGCGACGCCGCGUGGGGGAUGAAGGCCUUCGGGUUGUAAACUUCUUUUGCUCUGAACAAGGCGCACCAUGGGGUGUGUUGAGUGUAGGGGUUGAUUAGCGCCGGCUAACUACGUGCCAGCAGCCGCGGUAAUACGUAGGGCGCGAGCGUUGUCCGGAAUUAUUGGGCGUAAAGGGCUUGUAGGUGGCUGGUUGCGUCUGUCGUGAAAGCUCAUGGCUUAACUGUGGGGUUGCGGUGGGUACGGGCUGGCUUGAGUGCAGUAGGGGAGGCUGGAAUUCCUGGUGUAGCGGUGGAAUGCGCAGAUAUCAGGAGGAGUACCGGUGGCGAAGGCGGGUCUCUGGGCUGUUACUGACACUGAGGAGCGAAAGCAUGGGGAGCGAACAGG
Molecule: ribosomal RNA, 419 nt
Filed under: bacterium
Lineage: Bacteria
Description: partial 16S ribosomal RNA
Rfam family: Bacterial small subunit ribosomal RNA
Source: RNAcentral